RNAcentral lists this long non-coding RNA (231 nucleotides) under Anas platyrhynchos (mallard). Its description in RNAcentral is "lncRNA (ENSAPLG00020011674.1)". Lineage: Eukaryota; Metazoa; Chordata; Aves; Anseriformes; Anatidae. The record is from RNAcentral.
CAAAUAGUACUGAAUACUUUUUCUGUGAUAAAUUUGUUUAAAGAAACACAUCUGACACCCCUUGGAGAGAAAGUGGAGUUGAUGUAUUUUACAAGGAGGGACACAUUUUCUUUAAGCAUACAGCAAGAUGUCUGAUUGCAGAAGGUUUAACCAGAAGGACAGAAAGGCACAGAGAGACUCAUGGAUUUUGGAGUUCUACUGAGGCAGCGGUGCCACGGGGAAAGAUGCAGG